GAUGAACGCUGGCGGCGUGCCUAAUACAUGCAAGUAGAACGCUGAAGCUUGGUGCUUGCACCGAGCGGAUGAGUUGCGAACGGGUGAGUAACGCGUAGGUAACCUGCCUGGUAGCGGGGGAUAACUAUUGGAAACGAUAGCUAAUACCGCAUAACAGUAGAUAUUGCAUGAUAUCUGCUUGAAAGGUGCAAAUGCAUCACUACCAGAUGGACCUGCGUUGUAUUAGCUAGUUGGUGAGGUAACGGCUCACCAAGGCGACGAUACAUAGCCGACCUGAGAGGGUGAUCGGCCACACUGGGACUGAGACACGGCCCAGACUCCUACGGGAGGCAGCAGUAGGGAAUCUUCGGCAAUGGGGGGAACCCUGACCGAGCAACGCCGCGUGAGUGAAGAAGGUUUUCGGAUCGUAAAGCUCUGUUGUAAGAGAAGAACGAGUGUGAGAGUGGAAAGUUCACACUGUGACGGUAUCUUACCAGAAAGGGACGGCUAACUACGU
RNAcentral lists this ribosomal RNA (496 nucleotides) under uncultured bacterium. RNAcentral describes it as "partial 16S ribosomal RNA". It matches the Rfam family "Bacterial small subunit ribosomal RNA", at positions 28 to 506 of the family's 1533-position model. The record is from RNAcentral.